AUUAUGCAAGCCUUUACAAGAUGUUGUAGGAGAUCCACUUUUAUGGAGAAAUAUUAACAUAGUUCAUCCAUUUUGUACUAACAUCACAAAUGAUAUCCUUAAAAACUUGAUGAAUAGAGCUCAAGCCCAUCUUCAUUCGCUCAGUCUAUUUCACUGCUCGAAGCUUACUGAUGCUGGUUUGAAGCUCAAAGGUCUUCCGUUGUUCAUAGACGAGAAAGACGAGUGAGGGAGAAAUGGACAGACUCCGUGGCUUCUCCAAAUGGCAAUGGAAAACGCUGUUGAUCGUGGCAGAAUGUGGACUGAGACGCAUAGGAGAAAAGAUAGAAGUAAUGUAACUGAGGUGGCUAAAGAGAUUGGGGUAAGUAUUUUUUUCUGUAGAGUAGAUAUUUAUAGUAGUGCACAAAUCGGGAUCUUGUUCAAUUUGGCUUAAUAAUGAUAUGACGCUAGAUCAAAAGGUAGUGGAAUAGUAGAUAGCUCAGUAUUGUCGUACAUUUAUGUGGGAGAGGCAAAGGCCAUUCUCCUGUGCUUAUCGUCAUUGUAUCCGGUAGUAAUAUUUAGUAUUUACCUAGUAUCUUAUUAAAUAGACAUAGAAUUCAUUCAGACAUCAGACGAUGAAAACAAUUUUAUAAAUCCGACAUAUAAUCCAUUGAGAUAUAAACAAUGUCAGCGUGUGUGUGUCCGGACUUCUAAAAAUAGUCUAUUUUUAGAGAAGUCGACAUGGAUACGACAUAAAAAGUAAAGAGUCCGCACAAGUAAGAUAUAAAUGAAAUAGAAGUAUUAACUAUUUUGUAAACUAAAUGGUCGAAUAGUAAUCUUGAUUACUAUUUCUUUUUGUAUUACUGAGUAAUGGAGUUGUAACUAAAAUUCGUUUUCAAAAGCGUAUAAUACAGCUUCCUCAUAUAAAUAAAGGUAAUUUUCCUCAAUUUAGAAUGAAAUCCCACCCAAAAAUAGAAGCGAGAAACACCAUAGAUAAG
Solanum lycopersicum (tomato) is the source of this 974-nucleotide non-coding RNA. The record is from RefSeq and is a predicted model, not a curated record. Lineage: Eukaryota; Viridiplantae; Streptophyta; Magnoliopsida; Solanales; Solanaceae.